This is a long non-coding RNA of Felis catus (domestic cat), 1117 nucleotides long. RefSeq lists it as uncharacterized. NCBI's taxonomy places the organism in Eukaryota, Metazoa, Chordata, Mammalia, Carnivora, Felidae. The record is from RefSeq and is a predicted model, not a curated record. The transcript has 3 exons.
CCAAUGGCCUGCCUUCAGAGCCGCCAGCAAAGGGCCAUCCCGCCAGGCAAACUCUCCUCCCUUGCCACCUUCAACAGGUAGAUCUGCUCCAAACAGAAAGUAAAUUUUGCAGAAAGUUGCCUGGAGCAGGAGAUGGCAUCAGAAGUAUACUGUAAAGGGGCCAAAGAGAUGCAUUCUUCUGUGAUGGGGUCCAGAAGAUAACAAGAUGGAAGAAGUUUCAGACUGAAACAUGAAAUGCAAGAAAUUUAAAAUUUCAUGAAACUGAUGAUCAGCUACACAAGAUCAAGAGUAACCAAAUGUGUGUCACAGAUGAAAUCCAAGUGCUUGCCCAAAUGGGAUCUGGCUUGCCUCUUUGCAAUUUAGCUAUAUAUUCUUCUUUGUGCAGAAAGUGGCUACUUACUACUCGUACUAUCAGCAUUUUACAAGAGCCUCUGCUUUAUCUAGCCUGUUUUAUCUCCACUUUUGAAUUUUAACCACACAUAUUUAUACUUCUGUCCAAAGUCUUGGCUAACAAAAAGUGUUCCAAUUUUAGAAUGUGGUAUUGGUAAACCAUUUCAAAGCAUUUUCAUAAAUGCCUCCUUAACUAACCUAUUUAAAAUAGGGCUCUAAGCCUGUAUGUUGUAAUCCUUAACCAACCUAUUUAAAAUAGGGCUCUAAGCCCAUAUGUUGUAAUCCCCAUUUUGUGGUGUUAUUUUUAUUCACUUAACACAACCUAAAAUUACAGUAUGUAUCUCCUUAUUUAUUGGUUACCUUCACCUCUUGAAUUAAAAGGUCUAUGAGGAGAACCAGGAUUCUGUCUCUUAUUUAUAGCUGUAUCCCUAGUACCUGGGCAACUCAGUAAUUAUUUGUAUAAAAAAUAAGGAACAAAUCACAAAAUGCAAAGUAAAACAUUAAUAUGAUCCUAUUUCAAAACUUUACACAGGGGGCACCUGGGCAGCUCAGUUGUUUGAGCAUCCAAGUUGAUUUCAGCUCGGGUCAUGACCCCAACAUCGUGGGAUCAAGUCCCUCAUUGGUCUGUGCACUGAGGAUGGAGCCCGCUGAAGAUUCUCUCUCCCUCUGCUCCCCUCCCCUACUCACUCUCUCUCCCUCCCUCCCUAUAAAUUAAAAACAAAACAAA